GAUGAACGCUGGCGGCGUGCCUAAUACAUGCAAGUCGAGCGAAUGGAUUAAGAGCUUGCUCUUAUGAAGUUAGCGGCGGACGGGUGAGUAACACGUGGGUAACCUGCCCAUAAGACUGGGAUAACUCCGGGAAACCGGGGCUAAUACCGGAUAACAUUUUGAACCGCAUGGUUCGAAAUUGAAAGGCGGCUUCGGCUGUCACUUAUGGAUGGACCCGCGUCGCAUUAGCUAGUUGGUGAGGUAACGGCUCACCAAGGCAACGAUGCGUAGCCGCACUGAGAGGGGGAUCGACCAGACUGGGACUGAGAAACGGCCCAGACUCCUACGGGAGGCAGCAGUAGGGAAUCUUCCGCAAUGGACGAAAGUCUGACGGAGCAACGCCGCGUGAGUGAUGAAGGCUUUCGGGUCGUAAAACUCUGUUGUUAGGGAAGAACAAGUGCUAGUUGAAUAAGCUGGCACCUUGACGGUACCUAACCAGAAAGCCACGGCUAACUACGUGCCAGCCGCCGCAGUAA
RNAcentral lists this ribosomal RNA (515 nucleotides) under uncultured bacterium. Its description in RNAcentral is "partial 16S ribosomal RNA". It matches the Rfam family "Bacterial small subunit ribosomal RNA", at positions 28 to 523 of the family's 1533-position model. The record is from RNAcentral.